This 75-nucleotide transfer RNA is filed under the name bacterium. RNAcentral's name for it is "tRNA-Cys". It matches the Rfam family "tRNA". From Rfam's summary of the family: Transfer RNA (tRNA) molecules are approximately 80 nucleotides in length. Their secondary structure includes four short double-helical elements and three loops (D, anti-codon, and T loops). The record is from RNAcentral.
GGCGUGGUGGCGAAAUGGUAACGCGGCGGUUUGCAAAACCGAUAUGCAGGGGUUCGAUUCCCCUCCACGCCUCCA